GGCAAUUUUUCUUGACUAUGCACUCUUAACUAUAUGCUCUGCAACUUCACUUUUUAGCUUUAUUUCACAUUUUAAGGCUUGCUAGUAAUUAAUAUUCGUAUACCAGCUUAUUGAGUUAUAAAAACCAAAACUGAUUGACAGAUAUGAAGGAAUGGGCUUUCAACCAGACACAACAUAAGAAUAGCUUUCUGAAGACAGAGACUUACGUGCAUUUCUGGCCCACAGAAAUAAAAUCUGUGAUAGGAAACAGACUAAGAAACACUUGCCAAAAUACACUUACCUUUUCUACUUUUGAUUUCAUUUAUUUCACAUGCAGGACUGAUUACCAAUCAUGUGAGGAAAUUCAACCAUUUAUAAAUUUCAAGAGCUUCAGAGCUUCCCACUCUUCAAAGGCUUUCUGCAAUAAAAGCUUCCAGCAGAAGAGCAUAUGUGGAAUAACAAAGCUCAGUAAAAUCCAACUAAAUGAAAAGGAAGGUGACAGGCAGGAAUCCUAAAUCAGAGAAAGAAAUGCUGUGAACAGGAUGCAGCUUUCUGAGGUGCUUAGAAAUGGAAAGAUUCUUUUGGAAACCAUGCUGGACUGAAGACCUAGACUGAGAUUCCCAGACUCUAAUAAAAAUAUGGCAUAGCAAAGUGCUGGCUAAAUG
RNAcentral lists this long non-coding RNA (644 nucleotides) under Chloebia gouldiae (Gouldian finch). RNAcentral describes it as "Erythrura gouldiae (Gouldian finch) lncRNA (ENSEGOG00005002682.1)". Lineage: Eukaryota; Metazoa; Chordata; Aves; Passeriformes; Passeridae. The record is from RNAcentral.